This 277-nucleotide ribosomal RNA is filed under the name uncultured prokaryote. RNAcentral describes it as "partial 16S ribosomal RNA". It matches the Rfam family "Bacterial small subunit ribosomal RNA", at positions 524 to 800 of the family's 1533-position model. The record is from RNAcentral.
UACGGAGGAUCCGAGCGUUAUCCGGAUUUAUUGGGUUUAAAGGGUGCGCAGGCGGGAGAUUAAGUCGGCGGUGAAAUUUUGCAGCUCAACUGUAAAAGUGCCUUCGAAACUGGUUUCCUUGAGUGUAGAUGAAGUAGGCGGAAUUUGUGGUGUAGCGGUGAAAUGCUUAGAUAUCACGAGGAACUCCGAUUGCGCAGGCAGCUUACUAAACUACUACUGACGCUCAGGCACGAAGGCGUGGGGAUCAAACAGGAUUAGAUACCCGGGUAGUCCCUGA